AUGAAGUGCCACUCGGUGGCCGCGCUCUGGUCGCCGUCGCCGCCUUCCCACCACAUCACCGCCGUCGCGGCCACCCCCGCCGCGCUCUUCACCGGCGCCGCCGACGGCACCGUCCUCCACUGGCCUCUCCCUCCUUCCCCGCCCUUCUGCCCACGCCCCUCCUCCCUCCUCUGCGCCCACGCCGCGGCCAUCACUGCCCUCUGCCCCCUCCCCUCCCCCGCCUCCCUCCUCGUCUCCUGCACUGCCGGCGUCAUAUCCCUCUUCUCCGCCUCCGCCCCCCUCCGCUGCCUCCGCCGCCGCUCGCUCCCGCCCUGGGCCGGCUCCCCUUCCCUCGUCGCGCUCCUCCCCACCACCUCCUCCUCCGCUUCGUCGAACCCCCGGGUCGCGAUCCUCUGCCACCCCCACGACGACGGCCACGCCCACCGCCACGUGUCUGCACUUGUCGUCGUCGAUGCCCGCACCCUCACGGUCCUUCACACCGCCUUCCUCGGGGCCCUCUCUGUCUCGCUCCCGAGGGCGAUCGCGCUCACGGUCUGCAGCGAUGACAAUGCCGUCAGUGUUGUGCUGGCUGACGCGCAGGGGCGGGCGCAGAUGGUGCCCGUGGUGGAGGGCGCGGCCGUCGAGGGUGACUCGCCGAGGCGGCUCAGCGUGAGUUCCUUGUCCAGCUUUGCAUCUGCAGAGGCGCCGGAUGGUACGGUGGAGGCCGUGGCGUUAUCGGACGACGGGAAGGUCGUUGCCUUGGUGCUGAAGACGAGCUGUUUGUUGAAAUGCGUUGUCGAGGGUUCCGUGCUGGGUGAGGUGUCUCUGGCGAACACUUCGCUAUGCAAGGAGGAGGAAACAGGGGUCAAGGGCUGCCUUUCUGGAGGGUUUUUUCUCCACGGAGGGGAGUGGGGAGGCCCUCACUCUGAGGAUGGCACUGUGGUCAGGAGCUUGGUGUUGUGGAGCAGCAAUGGUGGUGCCAUGGUGUACAAGGUUGCUGUUGGUACUCCUCCUUUGUUUGGGUGUGAGGCUGUAUGUAAAAUUCCUGGUAUUUCAUCCGAGCAGGGAGAAAUGCCAGUAGUUCAAUAUUGCCAGAUGGGCAACUGUCUUAUUAGGAUGGAAUCCCGUCCGUAUAAGAUUGGUGGUUCCUUGUUUUGGAAACCGUUCAUCUCCAUAUGGUCUAUGGAUCAACUAGAUUUGAGUAUUGCAAUGAACACAGAGAGCCCACCUUUGAGCAAAGUUCUUGGAGAAGGCAGUCUUCAGGGAGAAGAAUUUAGGUCAGAGCUCUCUAAUUCACUACCCAAUUCAGACAAUGGAGUGGAAAUAAGUUCACAGAUGUGCUCAGCAUACAUCAAUGGAUCGGGAAAGCAUGGAAGGACCGUGUCUUCUUCGAUGGUACUUUCCGAGGAUUCUUAUGCUCCAUAUGCCAUAGUUUAUGGUUUCCAUAAUGGUGACAUAGAAGUUAUCCGAUUUCUCAAUCUGUUGCCAGCCGCACAAUUUGGUAGCGGAGGGGUUUACCCACAUAUUUCUGAAAGAUUUUUCUUGGGGCACAAGGGAGCAAUUCUUUGCUUGGCUGCACACCACAUGCAUGCCCACUCUGACUCUAGAAGCUUUCGACGAGCACUCAUAUCGGGGAGUUUGGAUUGUACGAUUCGUGUCUGGGAUCUUGAUGGCGGCUCCCUCCUUUCUGUGAUGCAUCACCAUGUUGCGGCGGUUAAGCAAAUAAUACUACCACCAGCUUCGACUCAUCAGCCUUGGGAUGAUUGUUUUGUUUCUGUUGGAGAAGAUGGCCUUGUAGCACUUGUUUCUCUUCAAACCAUGCGUGUCGAGAGGAUGUUUCCUGGGCAUUCUUGUUACCCAUCAAUGGUUGCUUGGGAUGGAGUAAAAGGGUACAUUGCUUGUUUAUGCCGUAGUCUGCACUCUUGUAAUGACGUGGGCAGCAUAUUGUAUAUAUGGGAUGUGAAAACAGGUGCUCGAGACCGAAUUAUUAGAGGGACAACAUCUCAAUCAGUAUUUGAACACUUCUGUAGGGGCAUUUCCAAAAAUUCAGUUACUGGCGGCAUCUUGGGAGGGACAACUUCAGCAUCUUCCUUACUUGUUCCAAUUUUGAAAGGCACCCAGUCUCCUGCAAAUAGAAAUGGGAUGAACAUCUCAUCUAUACCAACGAACCAUCACAAUGCUGCAGAUUCCAUAGCUUUGAGUGUCUCUGCUGCGCAUGAUGUGAAGGGGAAGACACCAGCUCCAGUUGAUAGAGAUAAUUCUGCAUAUAGUUCAGGAAAAUCUGGCUCUGCCCAGAUAACAAACAAAAGAAGAAAGUACCCCAUAAAGUGCUCAUGUCCAUAUCCCGGCAUUGCAAGUUUGAGAUUUGACCUCACUGCAAUUAUGUCCGCACAAGGCAUGUCAAACAGCAAUAGUGAUAGGCAGUUGAGAGAUCAUCUUUGUGGUGAUGCUAACAAAGAAACUAUGCCGCCUGGAGCUUUAAAUAAUACCUCUGGGAUCCUAGAAAUGGAUAGCCCAUCUAGAGAGUCAUUGGAAGGGCAAUUACUUCGAUUUAGUCUCUGUUUUCUGCAUUUGUGGGAUGUUGAUUGUGAGCUGGACAAAUUACUUGUGGAUGAGAUGCAAGUUUGCAAGCCAGAAGGUUGUCAUAUAGCUACAGGGGUGGUAGGGGAUAGAGGCUCGUUUACGGUGAUGUUCCCAGGGAAAGAAGCCACUCUUGAGAUUUGGAAGUCCUCUGCUGAAUUUUGUGCUAUGAGGUCGCUGUCAAUAGUUUCUCUUGCCCAACGCAUGAUCACAUUAUCUCGAUCUUGUACAAAUGCUGGCAGUGCCUUGGCAGCUUUUUAUACAAGACACUUUGCUGAGAAAGUCCCAGAUAUAAAGCCCCCAUCCCUCCAGCUUCUGGUGAGCUUUUGGCAACAUCCUUCUGAACAUGUGCGAAUGGCUGCCCGCUCCUUAUUUCACUGCUCAGCUCCUCACUCUGUUCCAUUACCCCUCCGUGUACAGAGAAAUAAAAUUCCUGAUCACUUGUCUUUAUCUGAUCAUAUGGACAAGCUUAUCCCAGAGAUGCAGAGUGCCUCAGUAUCUAGUUAUGGACAGUUCAAGGUGGAUGACGAAAAUCUUGAUAGGGAUGAUGAUGAUACUUCUCAGAUAAGCUCAUGGCUGGAAUCAUUUGAAAAUCAGGAGUGGCUAUCUUGGAUUGGAGGAACAAGCCAGGAUGCAGUGGCAUCAAAUAUCAUUGUUGCAGCUGCUUUCGUUGUUUGGUACCCAAGCAUUGUGAAAGUUAAGCUUGCAAAGUUGGUUGUCAAUCAACUAAUCAAGUUAGUUAUGUCGAUGAAUGAUCGUUACAGUUCAACUGCAGCUGAGCUUCUAGCGGAGGGAAUGGAAAGCACAUGGAAAAUAUGUUUGGGGACUGACAUCACUCAUUUCUUGAGUGACGUCCUUUUCCAAAUUGAGUGUCUAAGUAGUGCACCUUCUAGCAAUGUCAUCUAUAAAACUGCAGUUGCUGUUACAAUGAGGGAGUCAUUAGUUGGCACCCUUCUACCAAGCUUGGCUAUGGCUGACAUAAUGGGAUUUUUUGGUGUAAUAGAAAGUCAAAUUUGGGCUACUUCAUCUGAUUCACCUGUUCACGUAGUCUCGCUCAAAACUCUCAUCCGAGUACUUCGAGGCUCUCCAAAGGCCCUGGCUCCUUAUCUUGACAAGGCAAUCAGCUAUAUCCUACACACGAUGGAUCCAAGCAAUUUAAUAAUGCGUAAAGCUUGCAUUAUCAGCUCAAUGAUGGCUCUAAGAGAAAUUGCCCGUGUAUUUCCAAUGGUUGCUCUCAAUGAAUCAAUGACAAGAUUAGCUGUUGGUGAUGCUAUUGGAGAGAUUCACAGUGCCACAAUUCGUGUUUAUGACAUAGAAAGUGUCACAAAAAUAAGAAUUCUCGAUGCAUGUGGACCACCAGGUCUUCCAAGCUUUCUCAAAGGACCAUCGGAUACAACAACAACCAUACUGAUAACAGCUUUGAGUUUCUCACCAGAUGGAGAGGGCCUUGUCGCUUUCUCGGAGAACGGAUUGAUGAUUAGAUGGUGGUCUCUUGGUUCAGCCUGGUGGGAGAGGCUAAGCAGAAGCCUUUCUCCUAUUCAGUGCACAAAACUUAUCUAUGUUCCUCCAUGGGAAGGAUUUUCACCCAACUCAGCUCGCCUAAGUAUUAUUUCUAACAUCUUGGGACAUGAUAAACAUCAAAAUUCAGAGAGCAAGACGAGGGAACUAGAUGAGGCUGAUAAUCUAAAACUGCUGUUACAUAAUCUUGACCUUUCUUACCGCCUUCAUUGGGUUGGUGGAAAGACCAUUAAACUUACAAGGCAUGAUCAGGACCUGGGUACAUUUCAGUUGUGA
RNAcentral lists this ribosomal RNA (4353 nucleotides) under Triticum aestivum (bread wheat). RNAcentral's name for it is "partial small subunit ribosomal RNA". The record is from RNAcentral. Lineage: Eukaryota; Viridiplantae; Streptophyta; Magnoliopsida; Poales; Poaceae.